ACAGAGUUGUGUAAGCAGAUGGGUGAGCAGAGUGAUCACGCUCUUAACCAUGACCUGGUUAAGAUGAUCCUUACCUUCCCCUUGUUUCUCCUAUAACUUGGUUCCAAACUCUGAGGGCUGCUCCAAAAACAAUGCCUCCUGUUUCAUUAUGUUGGCCCACCACAUCAGAGGUUGAUGUUGGUGCGAUGGCAGUAGUGGUUGAGUGUUCCUAUCAGAAUUCCAUUCAAUUUUGUUGCUGGUGACAGACAGCAGCAGAGGGGCAGUCUGACACAAUGGCAUCUGACACAGAAGUGUGUCUGAAGCAAAGGUGUGUCACUGAAUUUAUCUGUGUGGAAAAAAUGACACCUAUUGACAUUCAUCAGUGCUUGCUGAACGUUAAUGGAGACCAAACAGUGGCUGUGAGCACAGUGAGGCAGUGGGUGAUGCAUUUCAGUGGCUGUGCAUCCCCUCUGCUGAUGCAGAUGUUUACAAGCAUGGCAUGCAGACUUUUGUUCAUUGCUGGCAAAAGCAGAGCUGAUGGUGGUGGCUAUGUUGACAAAUAGUGUUUUGUAGCUGAGAAUUUGCUCUAUCCAACAGUGUUUGCAUGCUCUUGACACUCUUUGUAUCUGUUGUAGUUUCCAUGGAAACACCUAGGAGGCGUUACUUUUGGAGUGACCUAUGUCAUCAGUGACACACAUUAACCUUCACAUUAACUAGAAGGGCAUUUCAGGAGUAUAUUAACUUUCAGUGAUGUGUAGUUUCUACAAUGAGGUUAUUUGCUGAAGCACAUCUGCAGUUCCUAGUUUCCCACGGAUCCACGUAUGAAAAUGAAGUGAGAAAAAUUUCAAUUAAGAAGAAAACAGAUGACCAUUUGGGAAACAGACAAAGGGGUGGUAGCGAAAAUCAGGGAUACGUUCCAGAGGAACCACAUUACACAGGACAAAUCCCAACAGUUGUUUCUCUUCCUCCAAUGUCUACAAAGUUCACUGUCCCUCAUCCAGAUUUACAUACCAGUUCUGCACCAAAGGGACGACCUCAAAGACAUACUGAUUAUCCAAUCAACCCAAAGAAAAUUAGAAAUGUGACACAUGUUUAGGAUGGACUUCUGAAAAUUCUUACCUGACUUGCAUUUUACGGGUUUGAAUGGCUUCCUGCGACAGGGAAAGGUCACCACCAGUUCUCUCAAUUUAAGCUAUAAGUUGUUAUUGUUUCUGUUUAUUUCUCUUGUUAUGAAAUAAAAUUGCAACCUUUGCAAUGUAGUAUAUGAUA
RNAcentral lists this long non-coding RNA (1248 nucleotides) under Phasianus colchicus (ring-necked pheasant). RNAcentral describes it as "lncRNA (ENSPCLG00000020589.1)". The record is from RNAcentral. Lineage: Eukaryota; Metazoa; Chordata; Aves; Galliformes; Phasianidae.